Molecule: ribosomal RNA, 484 nt
Filed under: uncultured bacterium
Lineage: Bacteria
Description: partial 16S ribosomal RNA
Rfam family: Bacterial small subunit ribosomal RNA
Source: RNAcentral
AUUGAACGCUGGCGGCAGGCCUAACACAUGCAAGUCGAGCGGAUGAAGGGAGCUUGCUCCUGGAUUCAGCGGCGGACGGGUGAGUAAUGCCUAGGAAUCUGCCUGGUAGUGGGGGAUAACGUCCGGAAACGGGCGCUAAUACCGCAUACGUCCUGAGGGAGAAAGUGGGGGAUCUUCGGACCUCACGCUAUCAGAUGAGCCUAGGUCGGAUUAGCUAGUUGGUGGGGUAAAGGCCUACCAAGGCGACGAUCCGUAACUGGUCUGAGAGGAUGAUCAGUCACACUGGAACUGAGACAGGGUCCAGACUCCUACGGGAGGCAGCAGUCGGGAAUAUUGGACAAUGGGCGAAAGCCUGAUACAGCCAUGCCGCGUGUGUGAAGAAGGUCUUCGGAUUGUAAAGCACUUUAAGUUGGGAGGAAGGGCAGUAAGUUAAUACCUUGCUGUUUUGACGUUACCAACAGAAUAAGCACCGGCUAACUUCGUG